This 497-nucleotide ribosomal RNA is filed under the name uncultured bacterium. RNAcentral describes it as "partial 16S ribosomal RNA". It matches the Rfam family "Bacterial small subunit ribosomal RNA", at positions 28 to 507 of the family's 1533-position model. The record is from RNAcentral.
GAUGAACGCUGGCGGCGUGCCUAAUACAUGCAAGUCGAGCGAACAGACGAGGAGCUUGCUCCUCUGACGUUAGCGGCGGACGGGUGAGUAACACGUGGAUAACCUACCUAUAAGACUGGGAUAACUUCGGGAAACCGGAGCUAAUACCGGAUAAUCUAUUGAACCGCAUGGUUCAAUAGUGAAAGACGGUUUUGCUGUCACUUAUAGAUGGAUCCGCGCCGCAUUAGCUAGUUGGUAAGGUCACGGCUUACCAAGGCCACGAUGCGUAGCCGACCUGAGAGGGUGAUCGGCAACACUGGAACUGGAAAACGGUCCAAACUCCUACGGGAGGCAGCAGUAGGGAAUCUUCCGCAAUGGGCGAAAGCCUGACGGAGCAACGCCGCGUGAGUGAUGAAGGUCUUCGGAUCGUAAAACUCUGUUAUUAGGGAAGAACAAAUGUGUAAGUAACUAUGCACGUCUUGACGGUACCUAAUCAGAAAGCCACGGCUAACUACGUG